This 300-nucleotide ribosomal RNA is filed under the name Acinetobacter baumannii. Its description in RNAcentral is "bacterial SSU rRNA". It matches the Rfam family "Bacterial small subunit ribosomal RNA", at positions 61 to 359 of the family's 1533-position model. Lineage: Bacteria; Pseudomonadati; Pseudomonadota; Gammaproteobacteria; Moraxellales; Moraxellaceae. The record is from RNAcentral.
GUCGAGCGGUAGCACAGAGAGCUUGCUCUCGGGUGACGAGCGGCGGACGGGUGAGUAAUGUCUGGGAAACUGCCUGAUGGAGGGGGAUAACUACUGGAAACGGUAGCUAAUACCGCAUAACGUCGCAAGACCAAAGUGGGGGACCUUCGGGCCUCAUGCCAUCAGAUGUGCCCAGAUGGGAUUAGCUAGUAGGUGGGGUAACGGCUCACCUAGGCGACGAUCCCUAGCUGGUCUGAGAGGAUGAUCAGCCACACUGGAACUGAGACACGGUCCAGACUCCUACGGGAGGCAGCAGUGGGG